UACGUAGGGGGCAAGCGUUGUCCGGAUUUAUUGGGCGUAAAGAGCGUGUAGGCGGCCAGAUAGGUCAGCUGUGAAAACUCGAGGCUCAACCUCGAGACGCCGAUGGAAACCAGCAGACUAGAGUCCGGAAGAGGAGAGUGGAAUUCCUGGUGUAGCGGUGAAAUGCGCAGAUAUCAGGAAGAACACCCGUGGCUAAGGCGGCUCUCUAGUACGGUACUGACGCUGAGACGCGAAAGCGUGGGGAGCGAACAGG
Molecule: ribosomal RNA, 253 nt
Filed under: uncultured bacterium
Lineage: Bacteria
Description: partial 16S ribosomal RNA
Rfam family: Bacterial small subunit ribosomal RNA
Source: RNAcentral